AGCUUAUAGUGGGUUAUCAGAACUUACUAACAUCAGUGUCUCCAAAGUUGGUAUACAACCCCCCACUGCUAAAUUUGACUGGCUUAAA
RNAcentral lists this small RNA (88 nucleotides) under Microcebus murinus (gray mouse lemur). RNAcentral describes it as "Y RNA (ENSMICG00000037259.2)". The record is from RNAcentral. Lineage: Eukaryota; Metazoa; Chordata; Mammalia; Primates; Cheirogaleidae.